Molecule: long non-coding RNA, 441 nt
Filed under: Homo sapiens (human)
Lineage: Eukaryota; Metazoa; Chordata; Mammalia; Primates; Hominidae
Description: HSALNT0363852
Source: RNAcentral
CACUUCCGCCCUCACUGGUUGCCGUGGUAACAGGCCUCCGGUGGAGGGCGGGGACCCUCGGAAGCCAGCUGGGUGGCGAUCGCUUGUCUGCCUUGGCAGGCCCCUUGUGCAGUCUUUUCCCGGCGUGAGCGUGCAGGGAUUGAAAAGGAAUGCUUUAUGGUUCAGCAGAGAGCCACCACGCAGGAUGCACUGGGACCUGAGAACCGUCGGGCAGUCCCACGAGCUCUUUCAUGACCAGCUCCAACCGACAAGUACACGCCCCUUCGCACUCCACUAGCUAGUAAGCUGAGCUACAAGGUGUGCCAGGCACCCAGGACGCCGAUUCACCGCUUCAGUGAAGGCCCAGCUCAAAUGCCACCUCUUCCAUGAAGACUUCCGUGAUCCACAAUGAUAGCAUCUCCAGCAAUUGCUUCUAUAAUGAAUAGCAUGAGUCAUUCUGCA